This 866-nucleotide ribosomal RNA is filed under the name uncultured Planctomycetales bacterium. Its description in RNAcentral is "bacterial SSU rRNA". It matches the Rfam family "Bacterial small subunit ribosomal RNA", at positions 642 to 1503 of the family's 1533-position model. Lineage: Bacteria; Pseudomonadati; Planctomycetota; Planctomycetia; Planctomycetales. The record is from RNAcentral.
UGAGGCAUGGUAGGGGCCAUCGGAACCGAUAGGUGGAGUGGUGAAAUGCGUUGAUAUUCUAUCGGAACACCAAAGGUGAAAACAGGUGGCAUGGGCCUGUCCUGACGCUCAUGUACGAAAGCGUGGGGAGCGAACGGGAUUAGAUACCCCGGUAGUCCACGCCGUAAACGAUGUGCACUAGAUCGAGGGGGUUUUGACGCCGUCUCGGUCGAAGCGAAAGUGUUAAGUGCACCGCCUUGGGGAGUACGGUCGCAAGGCUAAAACUCAAAGGAAAUUGACGGGGGGCUCACACAAGCGGUGGAGCAUGUGGCUUAAUUCGAAGCAACGCGAAGAACCUUAUCCUGGGCUUGAACUACGCGGAUUAGCUUCUGGAAACAGGAGUGACGCCUUCUGGGUGGAACGUCGAUAGGUGCUGCAUGGCUGUCGUCAGCUCGUGCUGUGAAGUGUCGGGUUAAGUCCCUUAACGAGCGCAACCCUUAUCGCUAGUUGCCAGCGAGUCAUGUCGGGGACUCUAGCGAGACUGCCGGUGUCAAACCGGAGGAAGGUGGGGAUGACGUCAAGUCCGCAUGGCCUUUAUGCCCAGGGCUGCACACGUGCUACAAUGGUCGGUACAGAACGAAGCAAGACCGCAAGGUGGAGCAAAUCGCUAAAGCCGUGCCCCAGUUCGGAUUGCAGGCUGCAACUCGCCUGCAUGAAGCUGGAAUCGCUAGUAAUCGUGGAUCAGCUACGCCACGGUGAAUACGUUCCUGAGCCUUGUACACACCGCCCGUCAAGUCAUGGAAGCUGGCAGCGCCCGAAGUCGCCUCGAUUCAGGGGUGCCCACGGUGAGGCUGGUGACUGGGACUAAGUCGUAACAAGGUAACCGU